CACCAGGACCGGGCCCCUCUGACAGUUCAUCUUUGAGCUGUGAUGUCGGACUGGAUUA
Non-coding RNA from Rhizobium sp. CF080, 58 nucleotides. The record is from Rfam. NCBI's taxonomy places the organism in Bacteria, Pseudomonadati, Pseudomonadota, Alphaproteobacteria, Hyphomicrobiales, Rhizobiaceae.